AAAUGAAUUGACGGGGACCCGCACAAGCGGUGGAUCAUGUUCUUUAAUUCGAGGCUAAGCGAAGAACCUUACCAGGGCUUGACAUCCCGAGAAGGCCUCCGAAAGGAGACUGUGCCUUUUAGGAACUCGGUGACAGGUGAUGCAUGGCCGUCGUCAGCUCGUGUCGUGAGAUGUUUGGUUAAGUCCAUCAACGAGCGCAACCCUUGCGAAUAGUUGUAUUUUUCUAUUCGGACUGCUUCGGUAACGGAGAGGAAGGGGGGGAUGAUGUCAGGUCAGUAUUUCCCUUACGUCCUGGGCUAGAAACGUGAUACAAUGGCCGGUACAAUGCGCAGCGAAACCGCGAGGUGGAGCAAAUCGCACUCAAAGCCGGUCCCAGUUCGGAUUGGAGGCUGAAACUCGCCUUCAUGAAGUCGGAAUCGCUAGUAAUCGCAGAUCAGCAUGUUGCGGUGAAUACGUUCCCGGGUCUUGUACACACCGCCCGU
Molecule: ribosomal RNA, 482 nt
Filed under: uncultured bacterium
Lineage: Bacteria
Description: bacterial SSU rRNA
Rfam family: Bacterial small subunit ribosomal RNA
Source: RNAcentral